Small nucleolar RNA from Acomys russatus (golden spiny mouse), 137 nucleotides. RefSeq annotates it as small nucleolar RNA SNORA17. NCBI's taxonomy places the organism in Eukaryota, Metazoa, Chordata, Mammalia, Rodentia, Muridae. The record is from RefSeq and is a predicted model, not a curated record. The transcript has a single exon.
AUUCCCUAAAUAAUUAAAACCAAAAGAUGGCUGCUGUGUCACAUGUGUGUCAGCAGGUGGUAAAGAGGAGAGAGGUUAAGUCUAAACUCAGUUGUCAUUGACCUAUGAACAUCUGAAUGGUUAGGUAGCCUAACAGU